Molecule: ribosomal RNA, 462 nt
Filed under: uncultured Pelotomaculum sp.
Lineage: Bacteria; Bacillati; Bacillota; Clostridia; Eubacteriales; Desulfotomaculaceae
Description: bacterial SSU rRNA
Rfam family: Bacterial small subunit ribosomal RNA
Source: RNAcentral
GCACAAGCGGUGGAGCAUGUGGUUUAAUUCGACGCAACGCGAAGAACCUUACCAGGGCUUGACAUCCCCUGACCGCGUAUGAAAGUACGUUUUCACCCUCGGGUGACAGGGAGACAGGUGGUGCAUGGUUGUCGUCAGCUCGUGUCGUGAGAUGUUGGGUUAAGUCCCGCAACGAGCGCAACCCCUACGUUUAGUUGCUAACGCGUGAAGGCGAGCACUCUAGACGAACUGCCGUUGACAAAACGGAGGAAGGUGGGAUGACGUCAAAUCAUCAUGCCCCUUAUGUUCUGGGCUACACACGUGCUACAAUGGCCGGUACAGACGGACGCAAAGCCGCGAGGUGGAGCAAAUCCUAAAAAGCCGGUCUCAGUUCGGAUUGCAGCCUGCAAUUCGCCUGCAUGAAGUCGGAAUCGCUAGUAAUCGCGGAUCAGCUACGCCGCGGUGAAUACGUUCUCGGGCCUU